Molecule: long non-coding RNA, 3257 nt
Filed under: Arabidopsis thaliana (thale cress)
Lineage: Eukaryota; Viridiplantae; Streptophyta; Magnoliopsida; Brassicales; Brassicaceae
Description: long non-coding RNA (ATHA_LNC000689)
Source: RNAcentral
UUCGCUGCAGAUUAUGAAGAGGAACGGUGAGAGAGGAUCCCCUUGUCUCAAUCCUCUCUCUGGAGUAACUGCACCUUGAGCAGAGCCAUUGAGGAGGAAGGAGUAUGAAACUGUGGUGAUACAUUGUAAAAUCCAGCUUAUCCAAGUUUGGUGAAACCCCAUCUCUUGCAUAACCAGUUUGAUAAAGUCCCACUCAAUUCUGUCAUAGGCUUUACUCAUGUUAGUUUUGACAGCCAUAAAGCAUCGUUUCUCUGCUCCUAAGGAUUUGAGGUAAUGAAGAGCUUCAUGUGUGAUUAGUACAUUGUCAUUACUCGCUCUUUUUGGAACAAAAGCUGACUGAUUUUCAGAAAUUAUCUCUUGCAGGAUUGGUUGCAGACGCCUAGACAGCAGCUUUGAAAUGAUUUUAUAGAAAACUGUGCAUAAAGCUAUAGGUCUGUAGUCUACCAUCCUUUUCAGGCUUUGGAUUUUAGGAAUCAGUGUGAUAUGUGUUUUGUUGAUUGUUGGCUGAAGGGUAGAUGAAGAAAAGAAGGAUUGGAUCUCCAAAACAAUGUUAGGACCCACAGUCAUCCAAUUUGAUUGGAAAAAACUCGCCGAAAACCCAUCCGGACCGGGUGCUUUGUCAGCAUGGAUAGAAAAACAAGCAGAUUUUAUUUCCUCUGCUGAAGGCAAUUAAAUCAGAGAACGAUUCUGUUCAGGAGAGAUGAAUGGUUUAAUGGCCUCUUUAAUGGUUGCAGCUCGAGCUCCUUCAUUUGCAGAGAAUAGCUUCUGAAAAUACUCGGAGAUAACAUUGAGGAUCCCUGCCUCUUCAUACUCAGGUACUCCAUCCUCCUUUUCUAUCACUGAGAACUUAUUUAUCACCGUUCUACCUCUAGUGAUGGCAUGGAAGUAACCCGAAUUUUUAUCUCCUAAGGCAAGCCAUAACUGUCUGCUUCUCUGCUUCCAAUACUCUUCCUCUGCCUUGUAUGCUAAGAGCAAAUUAGUAUUGAUAGUCGAUAACAGCUCUUGAUUGUGAUCUUGACUAGACAUUGCCUCUUCAAGUUUUUGACGAUUUUCCUCAAUAAGUUUUUGACUACUUUGCUGCUUAGCCCUAGACCACUUAACAAUUUCCAAACGACAUCUGCUAAUUUUUUCCUCCACAAUGUCUGUAUCAUAAAGAUUCCAGGCCUCUUGAACAAGGGCUGUGACUUCAUCGUUGUUUUUUAGACGCCUAUCGUAACGAAACACUCCUUUUUUCUUUUUCUUUGACAGGUCAAAGUGGGUAAGAAGUGGUCUGUGGUCUGACCCUUCAAAGCAAAGGUAAAUGCAUCUACUAGCAGGAUAAUCUUCAGCCCACGCUCCAUUGGACAAUGCACGAUCAAGCCUGCAAUGCACAACAUGAUCAUGUCUCUUUCCACGCCAAGAUAAGAAAUUCCCUGAAUGUCUUAAAUCAUACAAAUCACAUUCCGCCAUAAAUGAUCUAAUGUCCACAAAAGUUCCUUCAUAUCUUGCAGGUCCUCCUUGUUUUUCAGAAGAAUCUAUGAUAUAAUUGAAUUCUCAGUAAGAUACCAGGGUUCACUUCUAUCUUUCCCUAAACUGGUAAGCUGAUCCCAUAUAGCUUUCCGCUUUGAUCUGUCUGGUUCCCCAUAGAUGAAAGUAGCAAAGAAGUGUUUACCCGCCGCCUUAAUCUUUGUGUCAAUAAAGUUGUUGCAGGAAUAAAGGAUUGUCACUUCUACUUCAUGUUUCCAGAGAAGGGCCAGACCACCACCUCCUGGGCUAUGCGGGGGAACAAGGUGAUGUGCAGAAAAAUUCAUCCAGUUUAAAGAGGUGAGGGUUGUCUCAUUGGGGUUCUUGGUUUCCAUAAGGAACAGAAUUUCUGGUGAGAUUGAAGAAUGCAUCUCACGCAGCCGUUGUACUGUUGUGGGGCUCCCCAAUCCACAACAGUUCCAGCUCAGAACUUUUAAGGAAUCUGAUUUGGUAGAUGGUGAAAAUCCACCUUAUCUUUCACUCUUGCAGGUAUAAUAGUUACUCGUGGAGUAGGUUGACUUGAGGAAGGGUUGGAGGCUCCAGGUUGGAGGAGAAGCUUUUGCUUUGUUUUCGUGGUUCUGCUAGGGCCAGCAGAUUCUUGUAUGUGAGCUUCAUUCUUCUCAGGUGUGGAUUUCCUUUUAGGGGAGUUCUGGAUAAGUCCCUUUCUUUUGCUUGAUUUUGCUCCCAGCAAUGGUAAAGCAGCUUUGUUUUGGGGUUUAGCUAAAGGUGGACGUCCUCUUUUCUUUUUUGCAGGAGCAACACAGCUUGUAGUCUGAUCAGCCGGAUGACUUUGUAGGUCUUGGUACUGAGAGAGAUUAUCUUGUGUUGGAAGAUCUUCAGAGGCAAGGUAAUUUUGGUUUGAGAUGAGUGCAGCUUCCAGCAUUAUAGAAGCUGUUUCUGCCAUGAGUCCUUUUUCUUCUCCUUGAAAAACUCUUCGUUUUCUUGCAGCGCUUUCAGUUGGGUGUGCACAACUAACAUAUUGCAGAGUGACGUCUCUAAGCUCUCCCAUGAUUUGGUCAUUAGUAGGGAUGGGAGGAGGAGGUGGUGGAGUAACCUCAUAAGAAUCCAGGUUUCUCUCCAACGGGGGACGUCUUGUUCUCGAAGUUUCAGAGCUAUCAUUUCUAGGACUGAGUCUAUGUGUGGCUCUAACCCUCCAUUGAGGAGUCUGAGAAGAAUCUCUUCUUGGCCCCUCUCUAAUAGGAUCCUGAUAUCUUGAGGUACCCCUUUUGUCUCCUGUCUCAUGGCGACCUAAAUUCCUUCUGUUAGGGUUAAAAGGAUUUCUGUGUCUUCUCUCCUCAUAGGGUCCAGCUCGGCGAGAUAGAUGUUCUCUAGAAGUUGAGGUCUACUCCUCUUACUUUUCCAAGAUCUUGAGAACGACUUUGAUUAAUAGAAGGGUUUCUUGAAGGCGCUCUUGAGGGAGAUGAUUCUCUUAGAGAUCUAGGGGCUAUGAAAUUGUCUCUAGGAGUGUAAUAAUUUCUAGCCAGAUCCUUGGAUGCCUCUUCACUUCUGGAAGAUCUGAACUUUGUAGUGUCCUCAUUUUCUGAAACCAGAUCUGGACAGAAUUUCUUUUCAUGAGUAAGUCUUAGGCAAUGUGAGCAGUAAUUUUUGAGAUUCUUGUAGACUAACGAGAUCAGAGCUUCGCUGCCAUCAGGAAAGUCUACCAUGGUGUCAAGGACUAGCGAUUUCAGGCCAUCAACAAAGACCUUUAGCUUUGCUGAAGAAUUGGUUAUUUCAAAAUCCAGAAUUUCUCCCAA